Molecule: small nuclear RNA, 188 nt
Organism: Anolis carolinensis (green anole)
Lineage: Eukaryota; Metazoa; Chordata; Lepidosauria; Squamata; Anolidae
Gene: U2
Rfam family: U2 spliceosomal RNA
About the family: U2 is a small nuclear RNA (snRNA) component of the spliceosome (involved in pre-mRNA splicing). Complementary binding between U2 snRNA (in an area lying towards the 5' end but 3' to hairpin I) and the branchpoint sequence (BPS) of the intron results the bulging out of an unpaired adenosine, on the BPS, which initiates a nucleophilic attack at the intronic 5' splice site, thus starting the first of two transesterification reactions that mediate splicing.
Source: Ensembl
UUUGCUCUCUAAUUGGCGUCUGACUUUUGACAGUAUCUGUUCUUAUCAGUUUAAUAUCCGAUGUGUCCUCUAUUUGAGGACUAUAUUUUAAAUGGAUUUUUGGGUCUGGGAGAUGGAAUUGAGGCUUGCUCCAUGCACUCCACACAUCGACCUGGCAUUGCAGUGCUUCCAGGAACAGUGCAUCAAAA